This 581-nucleotide ribosomal RNA is filed under the name uncultured Prevotella sp. RNAcentral's name for it is "bacterial SSU rRNA". It matches the Rfam family "Bacterial small subunit ribosomal RNA", at positions 338 to 918 of the family's 1533-position model. Lineage: Bacteria; Pseudomonadati; Bacteroidota; Bacteroidia; Bacteroidales; Prevotellaceae. The record is from RNAcentral.
CCUACGGGAGGCAGCAGUGAGGAAUAUUGGUCAAUGGACGUAAGUCUGAACCAGCCAAGUAGCGUGCAGGAUGACAGCCCUAUGGGUUUUAAACUGCUUUUAUGCGGGGAUAAAGUCAGCCACGUGUGGCUGUUUGCAGGUACCGCAUGAAUAAGGACCGGCUAAUUCCGUGCCAGCAGCCGCGGUAAUACGGAAGGUCCGGGCGUUAUCCGGAUUUAUUGGGUUUAAAGGGAGCGUAGGCUGUUGGUUAAGCGUGUUGUGAAAUGUAGAUGCUCAACAUCUGAAUUGCAGCGCGAACUGUCCGACUUGAGUGCGCGGAAAGCAGGCGGAAUUCGUUGUGUAGCGGUGAAAUGCUUAGAUAUGACGAAGAACUCCGAUUGCGAAGGCAGCUUGCUGUAGCGUAACUGACGCUGAAGCUCGAAAGUGCGGGUAUCGAACAGGAUUAGAUACCCUGGUAGUCCGCACGGUAAACGAUGGAUGCUCGCUGUGUGCUUAUUUUUAGUAUGCGGCUAAGGGAAACCAUUAAGCAUCCCACCUGGGGAGUACGCCGGCAACGGUGAAACUCAAAUGAAUUGACGGGG